AAACAGAAAGAAGGGAAUGAAGAAGGAGAAACAGUAGAAAAAGAGAUAGCAAAACUUGUAGAAGAUGGUCUUGCUCUUCUUUCCACGCCUCCUCCUCCCUCUCUUCCCCUUUCUCCCCCUUCUCCCU
RNAcentral lists this non-coding RNA (127 nucleotides) under Paramoeba aestuarina. Lineage: Eukaryota; Discosea; Flabellinia; Dactylopodida; Paramoebidae. The record is from RNAcentral.